CCGCUACACAUGCAGUCGAGGGGUAACAUAGAAAAGCUUGCUUUUCUGAUGACGACCGGCGCACGGGUGCGUAACGCGUAUACAACCUACCUUUUAGCGGGGAAUAGCCCAGGGAAACUUGGAUUAAUGCCCCAUAGUAUAUAGACUUCUCCUGAAGUUUAUAUUAAACAUUUAUGGCUAUUAGAUGGGUAUGCGUCCUAUUAGUUAGUUGGUAAGGUAACGGCUUACCAAGGCAGCGAUAGGUAGGGGUCCUGAGAGGGAGAUCCCCCACACUGGUACUGAGACACGGACCAGACUCCUACGGGAGGCAGCAGUGAGGAAUAUUGGACAAUGGGCGAGAGCCUGAUCCAGCCAUGCCGCGUGCAGGAAGACUGCCCUAUGGGUUGUAAACUGCUUUUACAGAGGAAGAACCACCCCCACGUGUGGGGGUUUGACGGUACUCUGCGAAUAAGGAUCGGCUAACUCCGUGCCAGCAGCCGCGGUAAUACGGAGGAUCCAAGCGUUAUCCGGAAUCAUUGGGUUUAAAGGGUCCGUAGGCGGGCAGUUAAGUCAGUGGUGAAAGUCUUCCGCUCAACGGGAGAACUGCCAUUGAUACUGAUUGUCUUGAGUUAUUAUGAAGUGGUUAGAAUGAGUAGUGUAGCGGUGAAAUGCAUAGAUAUUACUCAGAAUACCGAUUGCGAAGGCAGAUCACUAAUAAUAUACUGACGCUGAUGGACGAAAGCGUAGGUAGCGAACAGGAUUAGAUACCCUGGUAGUCUACGCCGUAAACGAUGGUUACUAGCUGUUCGGCCCAAUUGAGGGCUGAGUGGUUAAGCGAAAGUGAUAAGUAACCCACCUGGGGAGUACGUUCGCAAGAAUGAAACUCAAAGGAAUUGACGGGGGCCCGCACAAGCGGUGGAGCAUGUGGUUUAAUUCGAUGAUACGCGAGGAACCUUACCAGGGCUUAAAUGUAGUCUGACAGGUCUGGAAACAGACUUUUCUUCGGACAGAUUACAAGGUGCUGCAUGGUUGUCGUCAGCUCGUGCCGUGAGGUGUCAGGUUAAGUCCUAUAACGAGCGCAACCCCUGUGGUUAGUUGCCAGCGAGUAAUGUCGGGAACUCUAGCCAGACUGCCGGUGCAAACCGCGAGGAAGGUGGGGAUGACGUCAAAUCAUCACGGCCCUUACGUCCUGGGCCACACACGUGCUACAAUGGUAGGGACAGAGAGCAGCCACUUCGCGAGAAGGAGCGAAUCUACAAACCCUAUCACAGUUCGGAUCGCAGUCUGCAACUCGACUGCGUGAAGCUGGAAUCGCUAGUAAUCGCAUAUCAGCCAUGAUGCGGUGAAUACGUUCCCGGGCCUUGUACACACCGCCCGUCAAGCCAUGGAAGCCGGGGGUACCUGAAGUCGGUCACCGCAAGGAGCCGCCUAGGUAA
Molecule: ribosomal RNA, 1415 nt
Filed under: Salegentibacter sp.
Lineage: Bacteria; Pseudomonadati; Bacteroidota; Flavobacteriia; Flavobacteriales; Flavobacteriaceae
Description: bacterial SSU rRNA
Rfam family: Bacterial small subunit ribosomal RNA
Source: RNAcentral